Molecule: long non-coding RNA, 140 nt
Organism: Thalassophryne amazonica
Lineage: Eukaryota; Metazoa; Chordata; Actinopteri; Batrachoidiformes; Batrachoididae
Exons: 4
Source: RefSeq, a predicted model, not a curated record
AACAUUUAAAAUUUAAAUGAAUGACGAUCGGGGUCUGAGGACCUGCUGCAGCCUUCAUCCGUCUUCACAGCCGUUGGAUUACAAGCCAUCGCCUCCUCCAACUGAUCCGCUGUGGAGGAUUUCUUGUUUCACCAGAGCCU